UCUCCGUUGGUGAACCAGCGGAGGGAUCAUUGCUGGAAGCGUCUCACGGCGCACCCAGAUACCCUUUGUGAACCAUACCUCUCUGUUGCCUCGGCGGGGCCUACCCGGUACCGACCCCUUUUGGGCGAAGUUACCCUGUAGCCCGCCGGUGGAUUUUCAAACUCUUGUUAUUUUAAUGUUAUCUGAGCGUCUUAUUUUAAUAAGUCAAAACUUUCAACAACGGAUCUCUUGGUUCUGGCAUCGAUGAAGAACGCAGC
This 257-nucleotide unclassified non-coding RNA is filed under the name uncultured fungus. RNAcentral's name for it is "sequence contains ITS1, 5.8S rRNA gene". The stretch from base 209 to 257 matches the Rfam family "5.8S ribosomal RNA", at positions 1 to 49 of the family's 154-position model. Lineage: Eukaryota; Fungi. The record is from RNAcentral.